Molecule: transfer RNA, 71 nt
Filed under: Loxodonta africana (African savanna elephant)
Lineage: Eukaryota; Metazoa; Chordata; Mammalia; Proboscidea; Elephantidae
Rfam family: tRNA
About the family: Transfer RNA (tRNA) molecules are approximately 80 nucleotides in length. Their secondary structure includes four short double-helical elements and three loops (D, anti-codon, and T loops).
Source: Rfam by way of RNAcentral
GCAGUGGGGGUUCAGCGGUAGAAUUCUCAACUUCCAUAUGGGAGACCCGGGUUCAAUUCCUGGCCAAGUCA